CAGCCGCCGCGGUAAUACGUAGGUGGCAAGCGUUGUCCGGAAUUAUUGGGCGUAAAGGGCUCGCAGGCGGUUUCUUAAGUCUGAUGUGAAAGCCCCCGGCUCAACCGGGGAGGGUCAUUGGAAACUGGGAAACUUGAGUGCAGAAGAGGAGAGUGGAAUUCUACGUGUAGCGGUGAAAUGCGUAGAGAUGUGGAGGAACACCAGUGGCGAAGGCGACUCUCUGGUCUGUAACUGACGCUGAGGAGCGAAAGCGUGGGGAGCGAACAGGAUUAGAUACCCGUGUAGUCCCUGUCUCUUAUAC
This 301-nucleotide ribosomal RNA is filed under the name uncultured bacterium. RNAcentral describes it as "partial 16S ribosomal RNA". It matches the Rfam family "Bacterial small subunit ribosomal RNA", at positions 509 to 807 of the family's 1533-position model. The record is from RNAcentral.